This 424-nucleotide ribosomal RNA is filed under the name uncultured bacterium. RNAcentral's name for it is "bacterial SSU rRNA". It matches the Rfam family "Bacterial small subunit ribosomal RNA", at positions 359 to 775 of the family's 1533-position model. The record is from RNAcentral.
GAAUAUUGGACAAUGGGCGCAAGCCUGAUCCAGCCAUGCCGCGUGUGUGAAGAAGGCCUUCGGGUUGUAAAGCACUUUUGUCCGGAAAGAAAUCCUUUCGAUUAAUACUCGGACGGGAUGACGGUACCGGAAGAAUAAGCACCGGCUAACUUCGUGCCAGCAGCCGCGGUAAUACGAAGGGUGCAAGCGUUACUCGGAAUUACUGGGCGUAAAGCGUGCGUAGGUGGUUUGUUAAGUCUGAUGUGAAAGCCCUGGGCUCAACCUGGGAAUGGCAUUGGAAACUGGCUGACUGGAGUGCGGUAGAGGGUAGUGGAAUUCCCGGUGUAGCAGUGAAAUGCGUAAAUAUCGGGAGGAACAUCCGUGGCGAAGGCGACUACCUGGACCAGCACUGACACUGAGGCACGAAAGCGUGGGGAGCAAACAG